GCAGGGUAUGGUCAAUGGACAUCAAACAUCUGACACUGAAAGACCCUGCUUCUCUAGGGGAGUGGGUCUGCACGAAUAUUUUGGCUUCGGAUGCUGGCUGGAGCAACACACCUCAGUGCAUAUUUUUACCACAGCUGGUCCUGUCCUGAGAAAUGGUAGGGCUGUGCUUCCAGCCCUGGGUCAGUCAGCUCCAGAGUCUGGACCGCAACAUCCCUGGCUGUCUUCAAGUGGCAGUAAUCAACUACUCAACCCAAAAUUUUUUACAAUAACCCUCUGAGUAUUUCCCAAGAAAGAAUAAAGGGACAUUCUCGGAAAUUACGAAAUGUGGCAGGUGAUGCAGCGUUUAAAAGACACAUCAAGAGGCAAGUCAAGUCUAAACACAUCAAGUCAAGACUGUUCUCUCUUGAAGCAUUAUAGAAAAGCUGUUCCACAUGAUUAACUUCAUUGGAUUUUGCCUUGAAUUAGAAUAUUCUUUUCAAGAUUACAAACAAACCUGUUACUCAGGAACCUGGUCUCUGGAAACUUCCACCUGAACUGGGCUCUGUGGUGUGUGUGGACAGUAAUACCACCUUUUGGAACUUGAGAGAUGUAAGUCUCUAGGUGUUCAUUAACAAAACAUUAAGACUUUGCUAGUCUAUGAAGCUCAAAACCAGACAAUCAUUUACUCAAGUUUCCUACCGAAAACAAGUGUCACUCUAGUUUGGCUGCUCUUGAUCAGAAGUUCUGAAGAUCCCAAUUCCCGAUUUUGAUCUAUGUUCAGAAUCUUGCACCUGCAUUACUUACAAGUCAGAAAAGGAGAAUGUUCACAAGUCAGGACUCUGAAGAAUUCCUGAAGAGGACAGGCCAGUUCAAAGACAUUUUCAGAAACAUAUUUAGGAAGCAGAUAAAUUGUUAAGAAACUUUCUUUGAUGAAUGAUGGACAGGUAACCUUGAUGUUAUGGAGGACUCCAUGAAAGUUUGAUUAUGUUGUCUCGUUUAAACAAGUAGAAAAUAGAAAAGACUGUGGUAGCUCUCCAGAAGCUUCACCUCUGUUAGCUCUCCAGAAGCCAAUUAAUUGUUCCCCAUAACAAUUAAAGUUCUCUACAAUAAAUAAAACAAGUUUUUAUACCUUGAA
Molecule: long non-coding RNA, 1114 nt
Organism: Catharus ustulatus (Swainson's thrush)
Lineage: Eukaryota; Metazoa; Chordata; Aves; Passeriformes; Turdidae
Exons: 6
Source: RefSeq, a predicted model, not a curated record